UACGGAGGGUGCAAGCGUUAUCCGGAUUCACUGGGUUUAAAGGGUGCGUAGGCGGGUUGGAAAGUCAGUGGUGAAAUCUCGGAGCUUAACUUGGAAACUGCCAUUGAUACUAUUAAUCUUGAAUAUUGUGGAGGUAAGCGGAAUAUGUCAUGUAGCGGUGAAAUGCUUAGAGAUAACAUAGAACACCAAUUGCGAAGGCAGCUGGCUACACAUAUAUUGACGCUGAGGCACGAAAGCGUGGGGAUCAAACAGG
Molecule: ribosomal RNA, 253 nt
Filed under: uncultured prokaryote
Description: partial 16S ribosomal RNA
Rfam family: Bacterial small subunit ribosomal RNA
Source: RNAcentral